CUCGGUGAGCAUACUCGGAUGGCCCCACCCGUUCCCAUCCCGAACACGGCCGUUAAGCAUCCGAGGCCAAUGGUAGUCCUUCGCGGGCGAGAGUAGGUUGUUGCCGGGA
Molecule: ribosomal RNA, 109 nt
Filed under: Planctomycetales bacterium
Lineage: Bacteria; Pseudomonadati; Planctomycetota; Planctomycetia; Planctomycetales
Source: RNAcentral